This 520-nucleotide ribosomal RNA is filed under the name uncultured Glomus. Its description in RNAcentral is "SSU rRNA". It matches the Rfam family "Eukaryotic small subunit ribosomal RNA", at positions 569 to 1089 of the family's 1831-position model. Lineage: Eukaryota; Fungi; Glomeromycota; Glomeromycetes; Glomerales; Glomeraceae. The record is from RNAcentral.
AGCAGCCGCGGUAAUUCCAGCUCCAAUAGCGUAUAUUAAAGUUGUUGCAGUUAAAAAGCUCGUAGUUGAAUUUCGGGGUUAGUAGGUUGGUCAUGCCUCUGGUAUGCACUGGCCUCACUGAUUCCUCCUUCCUGAUGAGCCGUAAUGCCAUUAAUUUGGUGUUGCGGGGAAUUUGGACUGUUACUUUGAAAAAAUUGAGUGUUUAAAGCAAGCUAACGCUUGAAUACAUUAGCAUGGAAUAAUGAAAUAGGACGUUCGAUCCUAUUUUGUUGGUUUCUAGGAUUGACGUAAUGAUUAAUAGGGAUAGUUGGGGGCAUUAGUAUUCAAUUGUCAGAGGUGAAAUUCUUGGAUUUAUUGAAGACUAACUACUGCGAAAGCAUUUGCCAAGGAUGUUUUCAUUAAUCAAGAACGAAAGUUAGGGGAUCGAAGACGAUCAGAUACCGUCGUAGUCUUAACCAUAAACCUAUAGCCGACUAGGGAUGGAUGAUGUUUAAUUUUUUAAUGUACUCUAUUCGGCCGU